AAGGCGGCAGAUAGGCAUGCAGUCGAACGAAUCCCGUGGGGGUAACUCUGCGGGGGAAGUGGCGAAAGGGGCAGUAAGGCAUGGGUGACCUGCCCCGGACUCCGGGAUAGCCCUUCUAACGAGGGGGUAAUACCGGAUGACGUGGGAGACCACGAAAGCUGAGGCGGUCCGGGAGGGGCUCAUGUGGUAUUAUGCUAGAUGGUGAGGUAACGGCUCACCAUGGCCGAGAUGCCUAGCAGGUGUGAGAGCACGACCUGCGCCACUGGCACUGUGACACUGGCCAGACUCCUACGGGAGGCUGCAGUCGAGGAUCUUCGGCAAUGGGCGAAAGCCUGACCGAGCGACGCCGCGUGUGCGAUGAAGGCCUUCGGGUUGUAAAGCACUGUCGGGGGGGAGAAAACCCGCAAGGGGUGAUCGACCCCCGGAGGAAGCUCGGGCUAAGUUCGUGCCAGCAGCCGCGGCAAGACGAACCGAGCGAACGUUGUUCGGAAUCACUGGGCUUAAAGGGCGCGUAGGCGGGCGGGAAAGUCAGGGGUGAAAGCCGGCAGCUCAACUGUCGAAGUGCCUCUGAUACUACCCGCCUCGAGGGAGGUAGGGGCGUGCGGAACUUCCGGUGGAGCGGUGAAAUGCGUAGAUAUCGGAAGGAACACCGGUGGCGAAAGCGGCGCGCUGGACCUCUUCUGACGCUGAGGCGCGAAAGCCAGGGGAGCGAACGGGAUUAGAUACCCCGGUAGUCCUGGCCCUAAACGUUGGGUACUAGGUAGUGGGCUUACAUGGGCUCACUGCCGAAGCAAAAGUGUUAAGUACCCCGCCUGGGGAGUAUGGUCGCAAGGCUGAAACUCAAAGGAAUUGACGG
This 856-nucleotide ribosomal RNA is filed under the name uncultured Planctomycetota bacterium. RNAcentral's name for it is "bacterial SSU rRNA". It matches the Rfam family "Bacterial small subunit ribosomal RNA", at positions 36 to 916 of the family's 1533-position model. Lineage: Bacteria; Pseudomonadati; Planctomycetota. The record is from RNAcentral.